CCUACGGGCGGCAGCAGUGGGGAAUAUUGGACAAUGGGCGAAAGCCUGAUCCAGCCAUGCCGCGUGUGUGAAGAAGGCCUUCGGGUUGUAAAGCACUUUCAGUGGGGAAGAAAGCCUUGGGGCUAAUACCCUCGAGGAAGGACAUCACCCACAGAAGAAGCACCGGCUAACUCCGUGCCAGCAGCCGCGGUAAUACGGAGGGUGCGAGCGUUAAUCGGAAUUACUGGGCGUAAAGCGCGCGUAGGCGGUCUGAUAAGCCGGUUGUGAAAGCCCCGGGCUCAACCUGGGAACGGCAUCCGGAACUGUCAGGCUAGAGUGCAGGAGAGGAAGGUAGAAUUCCCGGUGUAGCGGUGAAAUGCGUAGAGAUCGGGAGGAAUACCAGUGGCGAAGGCGGCCUUCUGGACUGACACUGACGCUGAGGUGCGAAAGCGUGGGUAGCAAUCAGGAUUAGAUACCCUGGUAGUC
This 465-nucleotide ribosomal RNA is filed under the name Vreelandella stevensii. Its description in RNAcentral is "partial 16S ribosomal RNA". It matches the Rfam family "Bacterial small subunit ribosomal RNA", at positions 338 to 795 of the family's 1533-position model. The record is from RNAcentral. Lineage: Bacteria; Pseudomonadati; Pseudomonadota; Gammaproteobacteria; Oceanospirillales; Halomonadaceae.